AACCUAAAACUCCAGCCUCUUAACGUCGCUUCUUCUUCCUCCCUUUCUCUCUCUGCCUCUCUCUCUCCUUCUCUCUCUCCUUCACUCGUCGACAUUCACCCAUCUGUUCGUUCCCUCUUUCUCUUUCGAGUGAAAAGAAACCUAAUCUCACUCCUCAAUUUCACUCUUUCGAAAAAACCCUUAACCGCAAAAUUUUCGAGCCCUAACAUGAUUUGGUGAUUUGAAGAUCUGACGAAAUAAGCAGUAAAUCUUCAUAAAGCGUUCUUAGAGCCGCAAAAUUUUCAAAAGGAUAUUGAAGAUUUGAAGAAAAAAGUGAGAUAAAGGUUUUAGCAAGGUAAAUAUGAGUCCUUUGACCCUCUCAUCUCCCUCUCUCUCUGUUCUUUUUCCGGACCCUCUCGAUCCUUCGACCAUGGCGAAGCAACACGCCUCCAUCGUCGGUCAACAGGAAAUGCGCUGACAUCCAUGGCGCAGCAAAAUACGAAUGCAAUAUCGUAUUGUGCUCGAGUAUGAGUCAGUAGCAGCAAUCGAUAGCCAAACAGGAAGAAGACAUCAGUUUUUUUAUUUCAGCAAUUUUCAUAUUGUCUGUAAUUAUUUUUUUUUUGAUUUUCUGUAAUUUUCUCUUUUUAUUUUCUGUAAAUCCUGUAUUUUUUUACUUUUUUUCUUGUAAACAGAUGAUUUGAUUCAUUUGCAAUAGAACUUCUGUUUUGGACACAAUGCA
Long non-coding RNA from Beta vulgaris subsp. vulgaris (sugar beet), 718 nucleotides. RefSeq lists it as uncharacterized. Lineage: Eukaryota; Viridiplantae; Streptophyta; Magnoliopsida; Caryophyllales; Amaranthaceae. The record is from RefSeq and is a predicted model, not a curated record. The transcript has 2 exons.